GACGAACGCUGGCGGCGUGCUUAACACAUGCAAGUCGAACGGAAAGGCCCUGCUUUUGUGGGGUGCUCGAGUGGCGAACGGGUGAGUAACACGUGAGUAACCUGCCCUUGACUUUGGGAUAACUUCAGGAAACUGGGGCUAAUACCGGAUAGGAGCUCCUGCUGCAUGGUGGGGGUUGGAAAGUUUCGGCGGUUGUGGAUGGACUCGCGGCUUAUCAGCUUGUUGGUGGGGUAGUGGCUUACCAAGGCUUUGACGGGUAGCCGGCCUGAGAGGGUGACCGGCCACAUUGGGACUGAGGUACGGCCCAGACUCCUACGGGAGGCAGCAGCGGGGAAUAUUGCAAAAUGGGCGGAAGCCUGAUGCAGCAACGCCGCGUGCGGGAUGACGGCCUUCGGGUUGUAAACCGCUUUCGCCUGUGACGAAGCGUGAGUGACGGUAAUGGGUAAAGAAGCACCGGCUAACUACGUG
Molecule: ribosomal RNA, 468 nt
Filed under: uncultured bacterium
Lineage: Bacteria
Description: partial 16S ribosomal RNA
Rfam family: Bacterial small subunit ribosomal RNA
Source: RNAcentral